GAGGGAGGCGAAGCGUGAGGAAGUCACCAGAUAGCAGGAACUGGUCCAGAAGGGCUUUGGCAGUCGGCAAGCAGGAGCUUUAUACCACGGCCUGGGGGGCCCGGCUGCCCAAGCUCUGGCUGCCUGGGUGGGUGGCCAGGACCCCUACUCUGCAGAGCCCUGCCCCAGCACUGCAAAAGAAGGACAAAGAAGGGAAAUGACAGUGAUUUCAGAAGAUUCCUGCAAGCAACCAAGCUGAGGACUGAAGACAAUACACUAAUCAUACCAGCAUAAGUGAAGAGCAAGGAAAUGGCAGAGCUGACGAUUAUCCUCCUCAUCGUAAGAGCUUUCCCACAGCCAAAUUAUAAGAUCUAACUGCACUUCGGAAGCUGAUGUGUCUUUGUCUCCUCCACGUUUUUACAGUUUUGCCUCAUGAGGAAGCAUGCAUCACCGCCAGGUGGUGGUGGGAGACACCGAGGAGGAGCCCCAUACACAGACCCCCUGGCUCUGUCCACCUCAUCCCAGCCCUCCCAGGAGAUGCCUGCUUGUUGGAUGUCAGUCAGAGGACAUGCUGAAAUCAGACGCCACAGGGUGUCUCAUCCCUUCACACGGAUGGCUCUGCCUUAGCCCAUCUGGCUGAAGACAGGAAGGUGACAGGAAGGUGACAGCCAAUCAGUCCCAGAAAUCCAGUCGGCUCUCCCUGGGGCUGGUGCGUUGGCCCCUUGUGACCACAGCUGAAUGCAAUGGAUCCCUGCCCAAGUGGCAGAGGCGCGGUGACGGCUUGCUCCGGCUGAAGACCCCUCUCUCCUUGUGCUCUGGGCUAGCACUCAUGUCCUUCCAGGAAGGGGAGCCCUCGCACCCAAGUCCAGCGUAGUCCUUUUCCAGUGCUGCACUGCGAUCGGCACUGAGUUACUCCAGGACUGAUGCUCGGAGGACUCAUGUACCCUCACAACGAGGGCAGCGUCUGCCAUGUACAAGUUGCUCAACAAAUGUCUGUAAAUGAAUAACCGGAUGGAUGAUGUGGAGUGUGCUUUCUCAUUCUUGGACGCCCAGAUUCUAUCGGUUCAGGGUA
Zalophus californianus (California sea lion) is the source of this 1051-nucleotide long non-coding RNA. RefSeq lists it as uncharacterized. Lineage: Eukaryota; Metazoa; Chordata; Mammalia; Carnivora; Otariidae. The record is from RefSeq and is a predicted model, not a curated record. The transcript is spliced from 5 exons.